UGUUUUUUUUUUUUUUUUUUUUUUUUUUUUUAAACACAUAGUUUAGCAUGUGUGUUUUUUAAAAAGCUAAUUAUAAAAUUUAAUAUUCUCAAUAAGUUAGUUCUAACUAUUUAACAGUUAACAUUUUAACUCUACUUGAAAAAGAAAAAAGAAAAAAAGGACAAAUGAAACAUAGAAAUUAAAGAUUUAGUAUUUGUAUAUGUAACUAAAAUAUAAUUUUAUUUAUUUAAUAAAAAGCGGAUAAACAACUAACCGUUGUUAAUUUGUUAACACACUGUCAACCUUUACACUAAUAUUUGCAUAAAAACAUGUGUAUUAGCACUAAUUCUAUUUGAUAUAUACCACAGUAUAAUUCGGUAGGUUAAGGAAUAAGCAUUUUUAUUGUAAGUUGUAAUAAAAUACCUAUACAUAAAUAUAUAAGCAGGCGUACGGUAUGUAUAAAAAGAUAAGUUAUAGAAUAAUAUACAAAGUUGGAUAAAUAAGAUAUACCAAAAAAUAAAAAAAUAAAAAACUCACAGGUGCAUUAACUUAAAGAUAUAUAUAUAUAUAUAUUUAAACAUACCAAUUUAUAUGAACGAACUCGAAUGUUUGGGAAAAUAUAUCAACAUAAAAGAAUAAAAAUAAAAAAUGUAUAAACAAAGUGUCUUAGAUUUAAAAAGAAAAGAAAAAAGAAACAAAAAAUUAGUUUGUAUAAAAAGAUUGUAUGUGUCAUUGAAAAACAUACUAAUUUUUUUUUUCUUUAUAAAUGAUGAUAAUGUUAUAAAUAUAUUUAUUAAUCUACUCUAUAAGAGAAUCAAUAAUUGCUUAUCUAUUCAUACUACUAAAACAGAAGGUCUUGAAUUGUUCAUUAAAAAAUUUACAAAUAAAAAUAAAGUAUAUAGCCAAAUAAUGAAAUUUGAAAAAUUGUUUAUCAAAAAUAUA
Molecule: long non-coding RNA, 921 nt
Organism: Piliocolobus tephrosceles (Ugandan red Colobus)
Lineage: Eukaryota; Metazoa; Chordata; Mammalia; Primates; Cercopithecidae
Exons: 2
Source: RefSeq, a predicted model, not a curated record